This is a long non-coding RNA of Triticum dicoccoides, 955 nucleotides long. RefSeq lists it as uncharacterized. The record is from RefSeq and is a predicted model, not a curated record. Lineage: Eukaryota; Viridiplantae; Streptophyta; Magnoliopsida; Poales; Poaceae. The transcript has 3 exons.
UCGCUUCGCCCAUCAUGCAGCUGCCCCGCGCUCCACUCCCUCCAAUAGCGCAUAGCACUGCCCUCUCCUAGAAACACUCUGCCACCUCCUUGCCUACCCUCCUCCAUUGGCCAUCCACGUCUUGGCCACAAGCGCCCUGCCCUGCCGUUUUCCUGGCCUGUCCACACACCUAAGCCCUUCCACGCUUCACGCCCACGGUGCCGGAGACACGCUAACCUGAAAGAAGGUACAUAUAAUUGCAAAUCUUACUACACAGUGCAAACGAGUGUAUUGGAGCAAGGUCUUAGAUAUGGACAGGCGGUGGUAGAGAUUGGCAUUUGCCGGUGGCGACAACGAGGAGGAGGCAACUUCAAUGAUGACGUAUGGUGGCUGCGGCGGCGGUGUGUGUGAGCGGAAUGAGGCCACGACGACAGAUCCAACAUGAUAAGUUCCUUCUCAGCCCCUCCCUUGUUUGCUAGCACCACCGCACCCUUCUCCGCUUGUAGGUUCCCCUUGCUUCUAUAGGUCAACUGGUUUUCUCUGAUCCUGUUGAUUGAUUUGGUUAGCUUUAGCUAGCUCUGUUCAUGCCAUUAAUACUGAGUGAGACUCUUACCAGUGGUGAUAUGUUUAUUUGAUUUAGCAGGGCCUGGUGAUGAUGGCCUUCUUCAAGAAGCGUGAACCUCUGAUGUUGAUGGUCAAGAAGGCAACGACCACAUGACAACAAUGCAAACAAGUGAACCAGAGGCUCCUAUUGCGGACGCUACAAGAAUGUUUUUUAGUAAAUCCGAAACAGCCAUUUACGCAUUAUUAGCUAUUCAUAUUUUCUAUUAUCUAUUAUAUUUUUAGUUGUGUGAGUGCUCAUUGGCUGCUUGCCCACUAUAUACUGUAGGAGGGUGAUAAUGCAAGUACAUCCUUGUGAUAGCUAAUUAGGCAUAAACCCAUGUCCAUGCAAUACAAAUUGCUUGCUUUGGUAAGA